UAGAGUUUGAUCAUGGCUCAGGAUGAACGCUGGCGGCGUGCCUAACACAUGCAAGUCGAACGGGGGCCAGCGGCGGAAGGGGAUGGUUUACCAGACCCGGAAGGCGCGGGCCUUAGUGGCGGACGGGUGAGUAACGCGUGGGGAACCUGCCCCGUACCGGGGGAUAACACCUGGAAACAGGUGCUAAUACCGCAUAACAGAAGGGGACGCAUGUUCCUUUCUUGAAAACUCCGGUGGUACGGGAUGGACCCGCGUCUGAUUAGCUGGUUGGCGGGGUAACGGCCCACCAAGGCGACGAUCAGUAGCCGGCCUGAGAGGGCGGACGGCCACAUUGGGACUGAGACACGGCCCAAACUCCUACGGGAGGCAGCAGUGGGGAAUAUUGCACAAUGGGGGAAACCCUGAUGCAGCGACGCCGCGUGAGUGAAGAAGCGUUUCGGCGCGUAAAGCUCUGUCAGCGGGGAAGAAACACGGUUCGCGAGAGCCGCGGACGGUACCCGACCAAGAAGCCCCGGCUAACUACGUGCCAGCAGCCGCGGUAAUACGUAGGGGGCAAGCGUUAUCCGGAUUCACUGGGUGUAAAGGGAGCGUAGACGGCGAGACAAGUCUGGAGUGAAAGGCCGGGGCCCAACCCCGGGACUGCUCUGGAAACUGCCUGGCUGGAGUACAGGAGAGGUAAGUGGAAUUCCUAGUGUAGCGGUGAAAUGCGUAGAUAUUAGGAGGAACACCAGUGGCGAAGGCGGCUUACUGGACUGUAACUGACGUUGAGGCUCGAAAGCGUGGGGAGCAAACAGGAUUAGAUACCCUGGUAGUCCACGCCGUAAACGAUGAUCACUAGGUGUCGGGGGUUAGAAGGCCCCCGGUGCCGCAGCCAACGCAGUAAGUGAUCCACCUGGG
This 897-nucleotide ribosomal RNA is filed under the name uncultured bacterium. Its description in RNAcentral is "bacterial SSU rRNA". It matches the Rfam family "Bacterial small subunit ribosomal RNA", at positions 1 to 877 of the family's 1533-position model. The record is from RNAcentral.